Long non-coding RNA from Eriocheir sinensis (Chinese mitten crab), 836 nucleotides. RefSeq lists it as uncharacterized. NCBI's taxonomy places the organism in Eukaryota, Metazoa, Arthropoda, Malacostraca, Decapoda, Varunidae. The record is from RefSeq and is a predicted model, not a curated record. The transcript has 3 exons.
GAACUACUACUGCCUCAAAACGAUUUUUGGCGCUGCCAUUACGUCAAGCGCCUGGCAGGUCUCAUAAUACGUCUUCCUUGUCCAUGGCCGAGGGUGAUACGUGGCGGUGAGGUCACAGGUCAACAUUUCAACAAGAGUCACCCAGGGUGUGGGUGACCAGGGGUGAGCAGUGACCUGACCACCUUCCCCUUGCCACAGGAACCCAAGGAGUAUGGCUUGAUCCUGCCCAUCAAGAACAAGAACAAGGUUGGGGGAGAGCUAGGCACGCGGAAACUCAACCCUCUGCUGGACUCAGAUGACGAGCUGGACCAGGAUGAAGAGUACCCCCUUGACUGGGUGGAGGCAUCCCUCAAGCCGGGAACUCAGGUCAGCAGAGUCUACAGAAGCGGCUGCUGCGUGAAGCUCUGGAGGAGGACGCGUCAGUGUUCCAGCGUGACGAGGCGUACGACAGCAUGCAGGCCGCCAAGACGGGCUGCCGGGAAGCUAAGGACCCAGCCGCCAAGAAGGUGAGGAGCUAGUGUUGUUGUUUGCAUGCGUAGAGGAGUUUAGGUUCGCCAUGUUAUACCUCCAUAUUGUAACUCAUUUCCGAGUGCCUUCAUCCCUUCCUUUUCCUUUCAUUCGCUUUCAGAAUCCUUCCUUUCCCUUCCCUCCAUUCCCUUUCAAACUCCUUCCCAAGUGUCUCCAUUCCUUUCCUUAUCCUUCCAUUCCCUUUCAAACUCUUUCUCAUCCCUUUCCUCCCUUUCAAUCUCCUUCUCAAGUGUCUCCAUCCCUUCCCCUUCUUUCCAUUCCCUUUCAAACUCAUUCCCAAGUGUCUCCAUCCCUUCCCUUUCCUAUUC